RNAcentral lists this ribosomal RNA (1361 nucleotides) under uncultured bacterium. Its description in RNAcentral is "16S ribosomal RNA". It matches the Rfam family "Bacterial small subunit ribosomal RNA", at positions 49 to 1399 of the family's 1533-position model. The record is from RNAcentral.
UAACACAUGCAAGUCGAGGGGCAGCGGGGAGGAAGCUUGCUUUCUCCGCCGGCGACCGGCGCACGGGUGAGUAACACGUAUGCAACCUGCCCCUGUCAGGGGGACAACCCGCCGAAAGGCGGGCUAAACCCGCGUACAUGCCACCGGGGCAUCCCGGAGGCAGGAAAGGCUUCGGCCGGACAGGGAUGGGCAUGCGGCGCAUUAGGCAGUAGGCGGGGUAACGGCCCACCUAACCGACGAUGCGUAGGGGUUCUGAGAGGAAGGUCCCCCACACUGGUACUGAGACACGGACCAGACUCCUACGGGAGGCAGCAGUGAGGAAUAUUGGUCAAUGGUCGGGAGACUGAACCAGCCAAGCCGCGUGAGGGAGGAAGGUACAGAGUAUCGUAAACCUCUUUUGUCAGGGAACAAAGACUGGGACGCGUCCCCGGAUGAGUGUACCUGAAGAAAAAGCAUCGGCUAACUCCGUGCCAGCAGCCGCGGUAAUACGGAGGAUGCGAGCGUUAUCCGGAUUUAUUGGGUUUAAAGGGUGCGCAGGCGGUCUGUUAAGUCAGCGGUCAAAGCCCGGGGCUCAACCCCGGCCCGCCGUUGAAACUGGCAGUCUCGAGUUGGAGAGAAGUAUGCGGAAUGCGCGGUGUAGCGGUGAAAUGCAUAGAUAUCGCGCAGAACUCCGAUUGCGAAGGCAGCAUGCCGGCUCCACACUGACGCUGAGGCACGAAAGCGUGGGUAUCGAACAGGAUUAGAUACCCUGGUAGUCCACGCAGUAAACGAUGAAUGCUGGCUGUCCGGGGGGACUGACCCCUGGGUGGCGAAGCGAAAGCGAUAAGCAUUCCACCUGGGGAGUACGCCGGCAACGGUGAAACUCAAAGGAAUUGACGGGGGCCCGCACAAGCGGAGGAACAUGUGGUUUAAUUCGAUGAUACGCGAGGAACCUUACCCGGGCUCAAACGGGGAGUGGCGCAGGCAGAGACGCCUGUUUCCCACGGGACACUCCCCGAGGUGCUGCAUGGUUGUCGUCAGCUCGUGCCGUGAGGUGUCGGCUUAAGUGCCAUAACGAGCGCAACCCCCGCGUGCAGUUGCUAACAGUCAACGCUGAGGACUCUGCACGGACUGCCGGCGCAAGCCGCGAGGAAGGCGGGGAUGACGUCAAAUCAGCACGGCCCUUACGUCCGGGGCGACACACGUGUUACAAUGGGUGGUACAGCGGGAAGCCAGGCGGCGACGCCGAGCGGAACCCGAAAUCCACUCUCAGUUCGGAUCGGAGUCUGCAACCCGACUCCGUGAAGCUGGAUUCGCUAGUAAUCGCGCAUCAGCCAUGGCGCGGUGAAUACGUUCCCGGGCCUUGUACUCACCGCCCGUCA